GUCCUUGUCGAUUAGUGGUUAGAUCAUCACGUUGUGGAAACACAGAACCGUGAAGACGGAGGCUCGAAUCCUCCCUGGGACA
RNAcentral lists this transfer RNA (82 nucleotides) under Pilatotrama ljubarskyi. Its description in RNAcentral is "tRNA-His". It matches the Rfam family "tRNA". Rfam says of the family: Transfer RNA (tRNA) molecules are approximately 80 nucleotides in length. The record is from RNAcentral. Lineage: Eukaryota; Fungi; Basidiomycota; Agaricomycetes; Polyporales; Polyporaceae.